GAUGAACGCUGGCGGCGUGCCUAAUAUCUGCAAGUCGAGCGAACAGACGAGGAGCUUGCUCCUCUGACGUUAGCUGCGGACGUGUGAGUAACACGUGGAUAACCUACCUAUAAGACUGGGAUAACCUCGGGAAACCGGAGCUAAUACCGUAUAAUAUAUUGAACCGCCUGGUUCAAUAGUGCACGACGGUUUUGCUGUCACUUUUAGAUGAAUCCGCGCCGCAUUAGCUAGUUGGUAAGGUAACGGCUUACCAAGGCAACGAUGCGUAGCCGACCUGAGAGGGUGAUCGGUCACACUAGAUCUGAGACACGGUCCAGAGUCGCUGGGGAUGCAGACGUAUGGAAUCUUCCGCACUGGGCGAAAGCCUGACGGAGCACCGCCCCGUGAGUGAUCAGGGUCUUCGGAUCGUAAAACUCUGUUCUGAGGGAAGAACAAAUGUGUAAGUAACUAUGCACGUCUUGACGGUACCUAAUCAGAAAGCCACGGCUAAAUACGUG
Molecule: ribosomal RNA, 497 nt
Filed under: uncultured bacterium
Lineage: Bacteria
Description: partial 16S ribosomal RNA
Rfam family: Bacterial small subunit ribosomal RNA
Source: RNAcentral